UUGAACCUGCGGAGGGAUCAUUACCGAGUUUACAACUCCCAAACCCCUGUGAACAUACCAUUUGUUGCCUCGGCGGUGCCCGCUCCGGCGGCCCGCCAGAGGACCCAAACUCUUGUUUUUAUACAGUAUCUUCUGAGUAAAUGAUUAAAUAAAUCAAAACUUUCAACAACGGAUCUCUUGGUUCUGGCAUCGAUGAAGAACGCAGCGAAAUGCGAUAAGUAAUGUGAAUUGCAGAAUUCAGUGAAUCAUCGAAUCUUUGAACGCACAUUGCGCCCGCCAGUAUUCUGGCGGGCAUGCCUGUUCGAGCGUCAUUUCAACCCUCAAGCCCCCGGGCUUGGUGUUGGGGAUCGGCGAGCUUCGGCCCGCCGCCCCCUAAAUCUAGUGGCGGUCUCGCUGUAGCUUCCUCUGCGUAGUAGCACACCUCGCACUGGGAAACAGCGCGGCCACGCCGUUAAACCCCCCACUUCUGAAAGGUGACCUCGAU
Molecule: ribosomal RNA, 484 nt
Filed under: Clonostachys sp. INBio2959F
Lineage: Eukaryota; Fungi; Ascomycota; Sordariomycetes; Hypocreales; Bionectriaceae
Description: eukaryotic LSU rRNA
Rfam family: 5.8S ribosomal RNA (bases 158-311)
Source: RNAcentral